RNAcentral lists this transfer RNA (76 nucleotides) under Bacteriovoracaceae bacterium. RNAcentral describes it as "tRNA-Gly". It matches the Rfam family "tRNA". From Rfam's summary of the family: Transfer RNA (tRNA) molecules are approximately 80 nucleotides in length. Their secondary structure includes four short double-helical elements and three loops (D, anti-codon, and T loops). Lineage: Bacteria; Pseudomonadati; Bdellovibrionota; Bacteriovoracia; Bacteriovoracales; Bacteriovoracaceae. The record is from RNAcentral.
GCGCACGUAACUCAGUUGGUAGAGUGCAACCCUUCCAAGGUUGAUGUCGCAAGUUCGAGACUUGUCGUGCGCUCCA